CCUACGGGCGGCUGCAGUGGGGAAUAUUGCACAAUGGGCGCAAGCCUGAUGCAGCCAUGCCGCGUGUGUGAAGAAGGCCUUCGGGUUGUAAAGCACUUUCAGCGGGGAGGAAGGCGGUGAGGUUAAUAACCUCAUCGAUUGACGUUACCCGCAGAAGAAGCACCGGCUAACUCCGUGCCAGCAGCCGCGGUAAUACGGAGGGUGCAAGCGUUAAUCGGAAUUACUGGGCGUAAAGCGCACGCAGGCGGUCUGUCAAGUCGGAUGUGAAAUCCCCGGGCUCAACCUGGGAACUGCAUUCGGAACUGGCAGGCUAGAGUCUUGUAGAGGGGGGUAGAAUUCCAGGUGUAGCGGUGAAAUGCGUAGAGAUCUGGAGGAAUACCGGUGGCGAAGGCGGCCCCCUGGACAAAGACUGACGCUCAGGUGCGAAAGCGUGGGGAGCAAACAGGAUUAGAUACCCCAGUAGUC
RNAcentral lists this ribosomal RNA (465 nucleotides) under uncultured Klebsiella sp. RNAcentral describes it as "bacterial SSU rRNA". It matches the Rfam family "Bacterial small subunit ribosomal RNA", at positions 338 to 795 of the family's 1533-position model. Lineage: Bacteria; Pseudomonadati; Pseudomonadota; Gammaproteobacteria; Enterobacterales; Enterobacteriaceae. The record is from RNAcentral.